UUGGAGGGCAAGUCUGGUGCCAGCAGCCGCGGUAAUUCCAGCUCCAAUAGCGUAUAUUAAAGUUGUUGCAGUUAAAAAGCUCGUAGUUGAAUUUCGGGAUUCUUCCGUUGGUCAGGCUAACAAGUCUGUACUAGCGUGUAGAAUCUCUACCUUCUGGGGAACCAUCAUGUUAUUAAUUUAGCGUGGUGGGAAACCAGGACCUUUACCUUGAAAAAAUUAGAGUGUUCAAAGCAGGCUUACGUCUGAAUACAUUAGCAUGGAAUAAUAAAAUAGGACGGUGGUCCUGUUUUGUUGGUUUCUGAAUCACCGUAAUGAUUAAUAGGGAUAGUUGGGGGCAUUAGUAUUCAAUUGUCAGAGGUGAAAUUCUUGGAUUUAUUGAAGACUAACUUCUGCGAAAGCAUUUGCCAAGGAUGUUUUCAUUAAUCAAGAACGAAAGUUAGGGGAUCGAAGACGAUCAGAUACCGUCGUAGUCUUAACCAUAAACUAUGCCGACUAGGGAUCGGACGAUGUUAAAUUUUAUUGACUCGUUCGGCGCCUUACGGGAAAC
RNAcentral lists this ribosomal RNA (547 nucleotides) under uncultured Glomeromycotina. RNAcentral describes it as "SSU rRNA". It matches the Rfam family "Eukaryotic small subunit ribosomal RNA", at positions 548 to 1098 of the family's 1831-position model. The record is from RNAcentral. Lineage: Eukaryota; Fungi; Glomeromycota.